GCAGUCUGCAACUCGACUGCAUGAAGUCGGAAUCGCUAGUAAUCGCGGAUCAGCAUGCCGCGGUGAAUACGUUCCCGGGUCUUGUACACACCGCCCGUCAAACAAUGGGAGUGGUGUUUACCAGAAGUCGUUAGUCUAACCGCAAGGAGGGCGGCGACCACGGUGAGCACCGUGACUAAUGUUAAGUCGUAACAAGGUAAC
This 201-nucleotide ribosomal RNA is filed under the name uncultured bacterium. Its description in RNAcentral is "partial 16S ribosomal RNA". It matches the Rfam family "Bacterial small subunit ribosomal RNA", at positions 1300 to 1500 of the family's 1533-position model. The record is from RNAcentral.